This is a non-coding RNA of Drosophila melanogaster (fruit fly), 468 nucleotides long. The record is from Ensembl. NCBI's taxonomy places the organism in Eukaryota, Metazoa, Arthropoda, Insecta, Diptera, Drosophilidae.
AACUUCUCGAGUAUAAAACAAAAGAUUUCAUUAAUACUGUUUUUAUUCCUAGGUAACAGAUGCUGUGACCCAACUGCCGGGAGAAAGUGCACCUGGGCCCAUUAACAUUUUAAUGGGUUAUUAUUUGUCUCUGUGCAUCUGCAUCUGCUGGCGUUUUCGGGAGUUUCGUGGCUUUCGGGAGGGGUAAUUUGCGGUUGGCCUUAUAAAUUGGAGCGACCACAACACGCACAUAAAAGCAGGCAUACAGACACAGAAAUCAACCAUUCGACGCAGGCGGCGCGCGAAGAAAGCUGGAAAAUUUUGAAGUAACAGAAAAGUUGCCUCCAGAGUCUUAAGAGGGGCGUUUGGGGCCAGGGGCGUGGCAAGCCAGAAAAUUUCUCAAUUCAAGUCCUCAAAUGAGAAAAAGCACAGUGGCGAUAGCAAGGCAAAUUUGACUGCAAAUCUGAGAGCAUACUAAAGUUCGAUAAU